UGGCUGUCGUCAGCUCGUGUCGUGAGAUGUGGGUUAAGUCCCGCAACCGAGCGUCAACCUUACCCUUAGUUGCCAGCGGGUAAGUGCCGGGCACGUCUAAGGGGACCGCCCGGAUAACGGGGAGGAAGGCGGGAGUGACGUCAAGUCAGCAUGGCCUUUACUGUCCAGGGCUACACACGUGCUACAAUGGCGAUACAGAGGGAAGCAAGGCCGCAAGGUAGAGCUAAUCCCUAAAGUCGUCCUCAGUUCGGAUUGCAGGCUGCAACUCGCCUGCAUGAAGUCGGAAUCGCUAGUAAUCGCGGAUCAGCUACGCCACGGUGAAUACGUUCCCGGGCCUU
Molecule: ribosomal RNA, 338 nt
Filed under: uncultured Aminicenantes bacterium
Lineage: Bacteria; Candidatus Aminicenantota
Description: bacterial SSU rRNA
Rfam family: Bacterial small subunit ribosomal RNA
Source: RNAcentral